This 1431-nucleotide ribosomal RNA is filed under the name uncultured organism. RNAcentral describes it as "16S ribosomal RNA". It matches the Rfam family "Bacterial small subunit ribosomal RNA". The record is from RNAcentral.
UAACACAUGCAAGUCGAGGGGCAGCAUGGUCUUUUCUUGCUAAGGCCGAUGGCGACCGGCGCACGGGUGAGUAACACGUAUCCAACCUGCCGUCUACUCUUGGACAGCCUUCUGAAAGGAAGAUUAAUACAAGAUGGCAUCAUGAGUCCGCAUGUUCACAUGAUUAAAGGUAUUCCGGUAGACGAUGGGGAUGCGUUCCAUUAGAUAGUAGGCGGGGUAACGGCCCACCUAGUCUUCGAUGGAUAGGGGUUCUGAGAGGAAGGUCCCCCACAUUGGAACUGAGACACGGUCCAAACUCCUACGGGAGGCAGCAGUGAGGAAUAUUGGUCAAUGGGCGAGAGCCUGAACCAGCCAAGUAGCGUGAAGGAUGACUGCCCUAUGGGUUGUAAACUUCUUUUAUAAAGGAAUAAAGUCGGGUAUGGAUACCCGUUUGCAUGUACUUUAUGAAUAAGGAUCGGCUAACUCCGUGCCAGCAGCCGCGGUAAUACGGAGGAUCCGAGCGUUAUCCGGAUUUAUUGGGUUUAAAGGGAGCGUAGAUGGAUGUUUAAGUCAGUUGUGAAAGUUUGCGGCUCAACCGUAAAAUUGCAGUUGAUACUGGAUAUCUUGAGUGCAGUUGAGGCAGGCGGAAUUCGUGGUGUAGCGGUGAAAUGCUUAGAUAUCACGAAGAACUCCGAUUGCGAAGGCAGCCUGCUAAGCUGCAACUGACAUUGAGGCUCGAAAGUGUGGGUAUCAAACAGGAUUAGAUACCCUGGUAGUCCACACGGUAAACGAUGAAUACUCGCUGUUUGCGAUAUACAGCAAGCGGCCAAGCGAAAGCGUUAAGUAUUCCACCUGGGGAGUACGCCGGCAACGGUGAAACUCAAAGGAAUUGACGGGGGCCCGCACAAGCGGAGGAACAUGUGGUUUAAUUCGAUGAUACGCGAGGAACCUUACCCGGGCUUAAAUUGCAGAUGAAUUACGGUGAAAGCCGUAAGCCGCAAGGCAUCUGUGAAGGUGCUGCAUGGUUGUCGUCAGCUCGUGCCGUGAGGUGUCGGCUUAAGUGCCAUAACGAGCGCAACCCUUGUUGUCAGUUACUAACAGGUUCCGCUGAGGACUCUGACAAGACUGCCAUCGUAAGAUGUGAGGAAGGUGGGGAUGACGUCAAAUCAGCACGGCCCUUACGUCCGGGGCUACACACGUGUUACAAUGGGGGGUACAGAGGGCCGCUACCACGCGAGUGGAUGCCAAUCCCCAAAACCUCUCUCAGUUCGGACUGGAGUCUGCAACCCGACUCCACGAAGCUGGAUUCGCUAGUAAUCGCGCAUCAGCCACGGCGCGGUGAAUACGUUCCCGGGCCUUGUACACACCGCCCGUCAAGCCAUGGGAGCCGGGGGUACCUGAAGUGCGUAACCGCGAGGAGCGCCCUAGGGUAAAACUGGUGACUGGGGCUAA